Molecule: long non-coding RNA, 1093 nt
Filed under: Felis catus (domestic cat)
Lineage: Eukaryota; Metazoa; Chordata; Mammalia; Carnivora; Felidae
Description: lncRNA (ENSFCAG00000047656.1)
Source: RNAcentral
CACCGUUUCGUUCUGUAUUUCUCUAGAUCGCCGCUGUUAUGCCCAGAAUUCGUGAUCCCCAAAGACCACCAGGGAGCCGAGUCCGAUGCAAAAGCAAAAGAGCCUUUAUUCGAGCUAGCUCGAGCUCAAUCCCCUACCUGCACCGACACAGCGGUGAGAUACCAGGGAGAGAGAGCGAGUUUCAAAAGCACAAAGGUUUUAUAGGGGUCUAGGGGCAGUUGGUGAGGUAACGGCUGUGGGCUCAGCCGAUUGGCUGGGGAAGGGUUGUGGCCUCGGCUGAUUGGCUGGGGAAGGGUCGGCGUCCUGUUACGCAGGUCGCUGGGUGUGUUUUGAUCAGGAAGUUUGAACGGGUGAGCGGGAGGUUACUCAAGGGGAGGAGGCGCGGUCUGAGGUUUCUUCGUUUUCCCGGAAAAGGGGUCAUGUCUGGGACAUAGUCACUCAAGGUGGAGGACACAGAGCAAGAUGGAGUCGGCCGGCGUAGGCCCACCCUUUCAGCCGCUCUUGUCCAAAGUCCUGGAGCGCUGAGGAAGAGAACAGAAGCCUGAGAGGGGAAGUUACUUUUGUUCUUCCAGUAUCAAUAGAUCAACUAGAUGGCCCCCAAGAGGAACCACUGGCACCACGUCUGAGGGGGAGCUGGAACGCAGGUGUUCAUGCCGAGUCCAGGAAUGCCGGUUGGAAGGGAGAGAUGGUUGUGUGCACAGAUGAUUUAUCCUGGAGUGGAGGUCACUUGAGGUGUGCCUGGUACCGGCCACAAUGUGAAAAUAACACAGCACAAGCUCCGUUGAGCUCCUGGCACAGACCAGCCACUAUUCUAGGAACUCUGGAGGCAAACAUAAGACAGAUAUUCUCCACGUUUAGAAGACAGUCAGUUGGUGAUGGGAAGAUAUUGACUCUCCUGCUGCAUACAAUGCCCGACUUCAGAGAGUGCCAUUUGCAUAGCUUGGAGCAGGUUUGGAGGCUGAGGAAGAGCUGGAGAUACAGAAGAGAGACGAGGCCACAGAAAGAAAGGGUUGGAGAGGAGGGGCACUUUGAGGGACCCUUUGGGGUGUUAAUGGAGACAGUCAUGCAGAUUCGAAGAUGGGAAGAUGAGUGA